UGAGAAGAAAGAAGAGGAACGUAGUAGAAAAAGAGGCAGGAAGUAUGAAGAUAUAGCACGGGAAGAUAAACACUAUAGAAACAAAAAAAGAGUGUUCAGGAAGCAGAGGAGGGAGUUUUGAGUGAUAGCGAACAUACUGUAGAUGAAAGCUGUCGGAGGAGUGGGACGCUGAGAAGCGUCAGCAUUGUCAGAGCAUGUUCAGCCCUCAGGGACAGCCAGGGGCCGGCCGUCAGCCUUUAUUUGGAGAGCAGAAGCUUUUCCACACUACCUGAAAUCAGCUGAGAGGUUAAGUCGUGGUGUGUGCAAGCUGCCAGCAUCAGAUCAUCGUCCUCAAAGUGUGGGGGCAAGAAGGAAAGAUGUUGGGUGCCCCCCGGUGGAGACUGUUUACUGUGUGCAAAGUGCUCUCCGCUCUCCUUUCAGUGUUUGUUAGUUAAUCACCAUCUGCUGCUGCUGCAGUUAGUUGUAUAGCAAGAGUGGAGAGGAAAGGUGAGUAUUCUCAGUCAACCAGCUUCUCAUGCAAAUAAAUGGUUUUAAUGGCUCCACAGUGUGAUGAACAAAAAAGCUUCAAAAAUACUGGUUGACAGUUUGACUUGGUCCUGUCACUGAAGAUUAGCUUCCAUUAGCUACUACAGCACUGAUGGGUGG
This is a long non-coding RNA of Pundamilia nyererei, 645 nucleotides long. RefSeq lists it as uncharacterized. The record is from RefSeq and is a predicted model, not a curated record. Lineage: Eukaryota; Metazoa; Chordata; Actinopteri; Cichliformes; Cichlidae. The transcript has 3 exons.